This 1404-nucleotide ribosomal RNA is filed under the name uncultured Bordetella sp. Its description in RNAcentral is "partial 16S-23S ribosomal RNA intergenic spacer". It matches the Rfam family "Bacterial small subunit ribosomal RNA". The record is from RNAcentral. Lineage: Bacteria; Pseudomonadati; Pseudomonadota; Betaproteobacteria; Burkholderiales; Alcaligenaceae.
UGGAAGUUCGAUUCUGGCUCAGAUUGAACGCUGGCGGGAUACUUUACACAUGCAAGUCGAACGGCAGCACGGACUUCGGUCCUGGUGGCGGUGGCGAACGGGUGAGUAAUGUAUCGGGUGCGUGCUAAUGGCAGGGGAUAACUGCGCGGCGUAAUAAUACGCCAUAUCGGGGAAAGCGGGGGGACCUUCGGGCCUCGCACUAUUAGAGCGGCCGAUAUCGGAUUAGCUGAAUUGGUGGGGUAACGGCUCCGCAAGGCGACGUCCGUAGCUGGUUUGAGAGGACGACCAGCCACUGGGACUGAGACACGGCAGACUCCUACGGGAGGCAGCAGUGGGGGAAUUUUGGACAAUGGGGAAACCCUGAUCAACCAUCCAGCAAUGUGCGAUGAAGGCCUUCGGGUUAUAAAGCUUGCUGGCAGGAAAAACGGCACGGGAUAAUACCCGUACAGCGACGUACCUGCGGAAUAAGCACCGGCUAACUGCCCGGCAGCCGCGGUAAUACAUGGGGUGCGAAGCGUUAAUCAGAUUACUGGGCGUAAGCGUGCGCAGGCAGUUCGGAAGAAAAGAAAGAUGUGAAAUCCAGGCCCAGCUUUGGAACUGCAUUUUUAACUACCGAACUCAGAGUGUAUCAGAGGAGAGUGGAGUCCGCGUGUAACGUGAGAAUGCGUAGAUAUGCGGAGGGAACACCGAUAACGAAGGCAGCCUCCUGGGAUAACACUGACUCAUGCACGAAAGCGUGGGGCAAACGGGAUUAGAUACCUGAUGAUCCGCCCUAAACGAUAUCAACUAGCUGUUGAGACCUUCGAACACUUAGCCAGCACAACUAACGCGUGAAGUUGACCGCCUGGGGCUGAUCGCAAGAUUAGAAACUCAAAGGAAUGACGGGGACCACACAAGCAGUGGAUGAUGUGGUUAAUUCGAUGCGGCGCGAAAACGCACCACACCCGCGACAUGUCUAAGAAUCGAAGUUGGGAGUAUACCGAAAGGAAACCAGAACACAAGUACUGCAUGGCUGUCGUCGCUCGUCGUAGUGUUAGGUGCAGUCCGCAACGAGCACGGCCUGUCGUAGACCCCCGCACGGGCAUCUAAUGGACUGCCGUGACAAACCGGAGGAAAAUUGAGAUAACGAUAAAGUCCUCAUAACCCACUAUAAAUGAGCACCACACAUCUGCAAUGGUCGGGACAGAGGUCGCCAACCGCGAGAGCAAUCGAAACGUCAUAGUCAGAUCGCAAUCCGCAACUCGACUGCGUAAUCGCGAUCGCUAUGUCGCGAGAUCAGCAUGUCGCGGUGAAUACCAUUCCGGGUCUUACUGCCGUCACCAUAGAGUAAAUUUUCGUAAAUUGUAACCAUAGGAGGGCAGUACUACGUAGGAUUCAUGACUGGGGUGAAGUCGUAACAAGUAA